This is a long non-coding RNA of Pipra filicauda (Wire-tailed manakin), 443 nucleotides long. RefSeq lists it as uncharacterized. Lineage: Eukaryota; Metazoa; Chordata; Aves; Passeriformes; Pipridae. The record is from RefSeq and is a predicted model, not a curated record. The transcript is spliced from 3 exons.
UUGCCUCUCUGCUGCCACAACACUACCAGCGGGGGAAAAGCCGGUUCUCAGUGGUACGUGGGGAUGUACAUCCAUGGUGUGGAGACAGCUAGGGCGUGGGUGGGCAUCCUGAAGAGAGGUUAUCAUCACAGACUUCUAUCGCAUUACAAACAAGACGCCUCUGCCAGAGUCAUGGAGAAGAAAGUGAAUUUAUUUACAAGAAGAUUCCCCCUCACGCAUGCUCCUCCUCCUCCCCCACUGGAAACCAGAUUUAAUGAAGGACUAACAGUGUAAGUCAGAGCAGACACUGAAGAACAGCCUACAGAGCAUGAAGCAAAAGGGAGGAGAACACUGGGUUACCCUGCAGAAAUAGUGGUGCCUUGACGUUUUGCAGACAGAAGCAGGUGAUGCAAAAUAUAUUGUGUUUUCAAGAACACACAAAAAACCUACGUGGACAAUUUCAG